ACAGCUACCUAUUCGACUCAAGCUUUCUGGUGCAUCACUUAAAACCAGAAAUGCACUUGUAAAGAAGCAUCACCAAGCACCUGAAACUGAUCCCCAUCACAACAGCAUAACCACCCAAGCCAAAGCACUCCCACCUUCAAAUAUCAAAACGUACCGAAGCAAUUUUAAGAGAUAAUAAGAAUAUAAAAUCUCUUCGAUGUUCACCAUUCAAAUAUUAUUUAAGUAAAAAUAAUCAAUAAAAACGUAGAAUAUCUAUGAGUAAUUAAGAAGAUAAAAAAAUAUCAAAUGUAUUUUCUUUACUUUUAUAUAGCAUUACUCCUCCAAGUACACUUAAACAACUAGUUGAUCAGAGUUAUAUUUUGGAAACCAUCCUAUACCUCCUUCAUUUUUAAAGGGGUGUACAUUGUGCCAACCAUCAAAGAAUACUCAACCCUGCCUUGAUUAUGCAUCCCUGACUUGGAUUCAAAUCUGUUGUAGAGGGAAAAGACAAGAUAUCUUAAGAAGCUCGGUCAGAUGAUGGGGAUGAAUGUUCAGGUUGUUGGUCCAUGUGUGAAACGAAAGGGGGGCACGUGAUCCCUUGAAAUUUCUUGCAUGAGUUUAUUAUAAAGCACCUAAAUGAUGAACAAGCGAUAACUGUUAUGGACUUCGUAAUUUACAGGAUGGUCAUUUUUUGAAGUCUUAGGGCAUGUUGAAGUAGUCUUUAUUGAUUCUUUGAGCAAGUUGAGAACAAAAUCAACCUUGAGACCACUAAAUUACUGUCGAUGGAAUAGAGAGGUAUGAUUUGCGGAUGUGCACAAUUGUUGUAUAUUUGGAUCAAAAGUCACUUUGAAAGUAGAAAAAGUGCAUUCCAUGCACCAUAUACCUUUACUUUCAUCCCUAUCAAGGAGUUUUGUAAAAGUGAGUGGCCUGAGCAGAAAUCCAAAGGGAAAAUGGGUGUGGAGUCUUAUGAAACCUUAUGAGUUAGCAUGUAGUAUGGAGAGUGUCGAGAACGACUUGUGAAUCUUUAUUGUAUAGUUGGGGAGAUGAGCCAUGGAUUGUAGUUUUAUUGCUCUAUAGGUUUUAGGGGCCUUGCAAGCCAUUAGUUAUGCGUCAAUUAUGAUGUGAAGGGAAUUUAGAUCCAAGUAGUUCAUUCCAAUGAACCACAAGUGUAACGAACUAGGGUUUUCUUAUGGCAAGCUUGGAACAUCAAAAAUGGUGGAAGAGAUAGCUAAGGCAUGGAAACAAGCCCGCAGAGUUAGCUAAGGAAGUGCAUCUCACUUUGAGUAUCUUGUGUGGUGUGCACGAGGGAUCGAAGACAUUGUGCUUCCACAAGAAGGCAAACCCGAUUACCCAGUUGACUUAAAAACAAGAGAUUUCCUUUUAGAAAUGGAGAUUUGGAGGAAGAAACUCAAAGUUGAGAAAGCUAAAUUGAGGCAGGAAAAUGGUAGACCUUGUAAAUAAAUUGGGAAAUUGAAAGAUAAAACAAAUAGGCAAGAAAGUAAGAUUUUGAAGCUAGAUGAAGAAUGUGAUAAAUGGAAAGAAUGUAUGAGUGGUUAGGCUAGACAAUCUCAUGAAUGACCACUAAGCUCAAAGAACUUGAAAACGACAAAGAGUACUUGCAAGUUGAUUUACAUGAUGAGAAGGACAAGUAUUGCUAGUUUAGGAAAGAAAAUGACACACUUAAUGCCCACAUUAAUAGCUUUGAAUUGAGUUUGCAUUACCAGGAAAUAUCCAUUAAAAUACUUAAACAAGAGCAUAAGGAGCUUGAACAUGAGGGUUGUUUGGUCCAAGUUUAGCAAAGUUAGGGAAAAUCGAUAAAAUGUGGAGACACGAGUACUUGAAUAAAUCAGGUGUUGGAAAAUCAUGCAAUCAUAUUGACAUAAAUGCAACAGAAUUUAAAAAUCUUUACCCAUAGCAAGAUCCAACUUUGGUUUGUUUAACAUACAUAACCUAACUAAAAGUAAUAAGAUUGGUAUUACUCAAACCUUGGAUUUCAAAAUCUCAUAGUUCAAAACCUUGGUUGUCAAAACCUCUAAAAGCUAUUCAAGCCUUUAGCCUCCAAUGAUAAUUGGUGGGAAAAUCUCCAAGGGAUAAAGGGGAGAGUCUAUGUUGAUUAACGAGUGCUAGCUAGGGAGCUCUUAGUUUUCUUCUUGUAGGGGGUUCUUUUGGUAGAGAGAGAGGACACAUUGCAAUAAGUAAAACGGAAUGCACUAAAGGUGAUAGAGAGGAAGAAUGGAGUAGUCCUUGAAGUAUAAGUGCUUUUGUGUUAGGUGUUGAAGAAUAAGAAAAGGUAGAAAAUGCGACAAAACAUGAUGGAUGGAAAGGGCUACAUAGAGAAAAUAUUUGAGAGAGCUUUGCUAGAGUUUUGAGCAUAAUCUCUCUUGAGUUUUUUAUUAUCUUCUCAUUACCUCCCACCUUUCUGAACUCUCAUAUUCAUGCUAAAUAGGAGUGGCAAUUGGUGAAAGGAGAGUACUUUUAGGAGAAUACGUUCAAUCAUGGAAGUACAUGCAUGUUAUGGGAAGAACACAUUCACUAUGAGAAAAACGUCUUAUGAAAAGAACACGUUAAAAAACAACUUAUUGGAUGUUAAGAGAUUGAGCAUGUAGUUGGGUAGUGGCCAUAAGUUUUUGAUAGUGGAGUAGUGACACUUAAUAGUGUGUCACAUGUACUUUUAAGAAAGAAGGAAAGAGUAAAGCACAUGAACUUUAAUAAAAAGGUUAAAAGAAGUUCUUUUAACUACCUCUAUAUCUGAGCCAUCAAGUUAAACUCUUUAAAACAUCCUAAAUAUGAAGAUAACUUAGUGAACCCUAUCACUUAUUUUGAGUUACUUUCACUUUCCUAUGUGACAUAGUUGUUCCACAUUGUUCUUAUAUUGUAAAACAAUACUUAAAGAAAUAAUGGUUAGCCAAAAUUAGGCAUCUACAUUUUGUAACCUUCAUAAGAGUUUUUAUAAGAAAUUUUUAUGCAUAAAUAAGAAGAUAUAGUUUGAGUCAUGCACAUAGAAUAAGUAAUGCAAGGCAACACUUAUAUAUAGAUAUAAAAUUGGCACAAAACAAUAUGUUCUAACAUUGCUUCAUUAGCUAUUCUUUCUUUUUACGCACUUGGGAACAUCUUUAGACAUUACGCACUUGAAAUGUCACUAUGCAUUAUGCACUUAGGAAUGUCCCUAGGUGUCACGCACUGGGAAUGUCCCUAGGCGUUACGCACUUGGAACGUUCUUAUGCGUUAUGCACUUGGGAAUGUCUUUAGGAGUUACACGCUUAGGAUUGUCCCUAUGCUUUAUGCACUUAGGACUAUCCCUAGGUGUUGCACACUUGGAAUAUCCCUGGGUGUUACACAUUUGGAACGCCCUUAUGCGUUACGUACAUGGAACGUUCUUAGAUGUUACAUACUUGGGAAUUUCCCUAUGUUUUACGCAGUUGGGAAUAUCCUUGGGCGUUGCACACUUGAAACGUUUUUGGGUGUUAUGCACUUGGAAUGUCCCUAUGCAUUAUUGUGAAACCUCGACCUUCAUAGAUGUGUAACUAGAGGUAGAACUUAUGUUUAAAUGUUUAAUUUGAGCUAAUGAUGCUAUUUUUAUGUUACUUAUAAUUAUUUUAUGUUGUUAUAGGAGUAGGAUUAAAAAAUGAUUUCAAUUGGUGAAGAAAGGUGCAUGAUGGGCUGUUGCUCUAUUUACAUAUGUUUUGGUUUUUCAAGCAUAUCUCCCACUACAAAAGUCCAAAUAACGUGAUUUUUAGACCAUUAGAAAGAUAAGAGGUAGGGCUACAACUUUGAUGUUUACCAUUUUGCUAGUUCUAAUGGGAAGAUGGUCAAAAUCUUUGUCGAAGUGAAAGUACUGCACCAAAAGAACAGAUUUGGAUAGAACAUUUGAGCACCGCGGUGCUGGAAAUUUAAAGCCGCGGCCCUUAUCAUAAUUUCCAAAAAUAACAAGCUUAGGGGAUUUUUGAAACUAGGGCUAUUGGGGGCUACUUAAAAGACCUUUUUAAAAAGAUUUUGGACAUUUUCCCAGUGUCAAAAGAGUAAAAAGAUUGCACAAGAAAAAGAGAAAGACAAGUGGCCUUGUUAAGGGCAUUAUUGUAAUUGCAUGAAAAAUUAGAUAAGCUUUAACUAUAAAUAUUUACUCUCCAGCAGCCUUCUUCAUUUUUUUUCCAAUAGAUUCUUCUUCCCAUCUUUCUCUUCAUCUCACGUUUCUUCAUCCUCCAUGGGAGUUCUCUUCAAGCUUCCAUAACUUUCUCAAGUUAGUCUCAAAUUUCAUGCUUUUGUGCACCUUUUCACAAGCCCUUUAUGCUCUUUUACUCUUUCACCUUAAAACCCUCCAAAAUCUUAAACGAAUACUUUUUCUCACUAGCUAGGUGUUUUAGAGAGAGAACAAAAGACUCUCUAUAAUAGUUUGGGAAUUCUUGAGGAGGAAUCCAAUUACAAAUCUAGUAAGGUGAGUAUUGAAAUUGAGUUGAUAUUUUUAGUUGUUGAGAAUGGCUGGUGGUUAGAUCUGUGAGUGUUUUGUAGUUAAGGUGAUUUAUUCAUUUUAGUGUGAUUAGAAUAGUGAAAAUAGAUAACCACUUAAUGGUAGUUGGAAACUAGUUAGGAAUAACUAGCAGAACAUGAUUUAGGAGAUAGCUUCUGGAACUAUAUUUAUGUGAAUUGAGUUAAUUGUGAUGCUAUUAUGAUGAUAGGUUCCAACGAAGCUCCACUGCCCUAUUUGGACCAUUAAAGGAAGUUGGAAUUGAGUAAAGAUUUAACAAAUACCGGUGAGUGAACUUGCAUUAAAAUAUUUUGGGAUUAGGAUAUAUGUGUUUGAUUAAAUCCACUAAAAUAUUUCAUCUGUUUUCUCUAAAAUAUGUAUGGGAACAAGCUUUUGAAUGAAACGUUUUGCAUUGUGGAAUGUGACUGUGAUGAAUCCAUGUGCCCUGCAUUAUGUUGAUAUAUAUAUAUAUAUAUAUAUAUAUAUAUAUNNNNNNNNNNNNNNNNNNNNNNNNNNNNNNNNNNNNNNNNNNNNNNNNNNNNNNNNNNNNNNNNNNNNNNNNNNNNNNNNNNNNNNNNNNNNNNNNNNNNNNNNNNNNNNNNNNNNNNNNNNNNNNNNNNNNNNNNNNNNNNNNNNNNNNNNNNNNNNNNNNNNNNNNNNNNNNNNNNNNNNNNNNNNNNNNNNNNNNNNNNNNNNNNNNNNNNNNNNNNNNNNNNNNNNNNNNNNNNNNNNNNNNNNNNNNNNNNNNNNNNNNNNNNNNNNNNNNNNNNNNNNNNNNNNNNNNNNNNNNNNNNNUAUAUAUAUAUAUAUAUAUAUAUAUAUAUAUAUAUAUAUAUAUAUAUAUAUGUUUAUGUAAUAGGAAGUUCAUGAAUAUGGUAUAUGGUUGUAAUGUAUGUGAAAUCUUGCAUGUUGAACCUUGGAAAUUGUUAAGUAUUUUCAAGUUGAUUUUGUCAUUGCAGCGAGAAACAUUCUGUUUUGCUUGCUACCUUAUUUGGUUGCUGCCCCAUUUUCCAUUUCUUUAGCACCAUAGUUGAUCAUGGACUCUCAACAUUGAGGAAUUUAUUUAAUCAAGUUUGAAAUGAGGGGUUUUAGCGAGAAACCCUCGGCCAGUUGAAAAACCCUCGGCCAACUGAUAAUUUGAACCCAAAUUUUGCUAUAGCAAAAAUUCAUUCUCGCUGCAACGUGGGACCCCUCAUUUCACUUGACUUGCUUGAAUGCUAUUAAAGUUUUCACUCUUUAAAUCCUUUGUUGUGCAUGGAUCUUUUAUCGUCAAGUGAUUAACUAAUUAAGGGUUUAAAUGAGGGGUUUAAAUAAGAGCUAAACUAAAUUGCAUUAUUUUGAAAAUAAAUGCAUCAUGAUUUCUUUAAACUUUCCUUAUCGUUUAAUUGUUCCUUUCCUUUGUUCACUCACUGGGUUUAUACUCACCGUUUUCAACUUAAUGUUUUCAGAUCAAGAGGUAGCCGGUAACUAGGUCGAGGUGUUCUCAUAGAUUCGUUUCCUUGGUAGGUAUCUCAGCAUUCAAUAGCUGAACUUUCGCCCGAGUCUCUCCGCUGGAAGUCGAGUAUCCCUUUUGUUGUGUAUAGACAAACCCGAUGUAAAUUAUUAAGAUAUAUGUUUUAGACAAUAUAUGUAUAUUUUGAUUGGUAAUGCCACUAUGAGAUGGUAAUGGUUAGCAUUAUUUUGAAUUAGAAUUAUGAAAUAUAACUUUAGCAACUUUUGAUGGAAUGUUGAACAGGUCAUAUAGAUAGGCUUGCUUAGGCUUAGUGGGCUAUGUCCAUUACGCCCAUGCGCCGGGCAUGGCUCAGAAUUUGGGUCGUGACGAUUAUGCACUUGGGAAUGUCUUUGGGUAUUACAUACUUGGAACGUCCUUGGGCAUUAUGCACUUGAAAUGUCCAUAUUAGCGUAGUUUUUUUUUGUGCAGCAUUAGUUUUUUUAUGUAUAUGUUUAAUGAUAUAUAUAUUUUCUUAACUAUUUUGUUUGGCAUAAAGAUAAAGAUAAACAAAUAAACAUGGAACAUGUCACGACCCGAAACUCCCCUUGAGCCCGUGACAACCGCCGCGAUGUCCUGAUCGACAUUCAUUACCCGGAAUGUCAAUCGAAACCCCGCAAGGCUUUAAUAUUAGCUUCUCAUUUCCCCUGUGAGUAACCGUUGCCAAAUAUCACGUUCUAAAAGAUUUUAAACUAUAUCCAAAUCAAAACAAUAGAAAAAUAAUUUUUUCUCACAAGGGCAUUUUGGUCAUUUUUUCUCAAAAAUAUCGAAAUUUGCUAAAAAUGUAGUAUGCGAGUACAAAACACAUAAUUCAUAAUAAAAAAUAAGUUUAAACAUCUAAAACCUUCAUUUAAAAUGAAAUAUGAUUAUUAGAAUAAAAUAAAAAUAUUGAAUAAAAUAUUUAAUUUUCUCAUAAAACAAUAUUUUUAGAACACUGCAUAAAUAAUUUUUACAGCGCAAAAGCAAAAUAAAUUCAUAUAUAUAGUAAUAUAGUAAGCCAGAGUAUUUAAUUUAAUUUACAGUAACAAGUGGGCCCACGAACGACCAAAAGCAUUAAAAGUAGUAAACCUACAGUUUUUGAGGAUGCAAGUUCAACUGUAGCCCUCAACAAAGUGAGCUAUCUACCAACUAUCCUGAGUCUGAAAGGGGUGGAAAGAAGGGUGGUGAGAUUAUAUAAUCCUAGUGAGUAAACAAAUACCAUCUAAAAUAUCUAAAGUUGAGUAAAUGGAGACAGAUAAAAUAGUUUAACAUACUGAAAUUUAUUACCUUUCAACUUGUUUCAACCAAAUAAAAUCAAUUCAUAUAAAUCGAGUAAUCAACAUGGCUUAUGAAAUUCUUAAAACUUUGGCUCGUGCCAAUAUCAUUCUCAUACCCAGUUAUCAGGGAUGCCUUGAUCGAGCGCUAUCCCAACCGAGUCCGCCAAGGCUGUUAAAAAGUUAUGUACGCAUAAAUCAUGUUUUUAUUUUGAAAACAUAACCGUUCCUUGGCGUUGACUGAGUUCACCGUCACGUGAUGGUUUAGCAUGAAGUGAACUCUAAAGUGUUAACCUCAGGAGUUAUCCACCUGUGCCUCUCAUAUUGAGGUAAGAUAUAACGAGGUUUACCGUGCCCCUCUAAUAGGCUGGUCCACGAAAACCCGCCCACUGCAGUAAGCUAAUCAAUAUCCCACCAAUUCAAUAAAAUUUCAACAGCAUGACAUGGCAAUUUAUCAUUAUCCAGCCUAUCAAGGCAAACAACAAUUUAUACAUUUCAACACAAAUACCAAUUCAGCCAUUCAUGCCAAUAUUGUCAUAAGCCAAUCAAUUAGGACCAUAAAUUCACAAUACAUCAAAUGGUCUCCAAUUACCCUACUUUCAAAGCCAUUAUUCAAUUUUAAAACAAUUUUAUGAAAUCAUUUCAUUAAAUCACAUUUGGUUUAUAAAACCAAAAUUAAUCAUUUAAUUCAUUUUCCAUGAAAUUCACAAAAUCGGAUAAAAACCACUUUAGAUAAUUAAGACAAUAGUAAGGUUACUCACAAUGUCUAGAGUGCGGAGUUUCGAAGUACUCUGACUACUGGUCCUAGGAUGCAAUUUUCUUGCCUUUAUCGGA
RNAcentral lists this long non-coding RNA (8017 nucleotides) under Theobroma cacao (cacao). RNAcentral's name for it is "long non-coding RNA (TCAC_LNC003211)". Lineage: Eukaryota; Viridiplantae; Streptophyta; Magnoliopsida; Malvales; Malvaceae. The record is from RNAcentral.